GGACUCGUAGCAUAAUUGGAUAGUGCACUUGACUACGAAUCAAGAGGUUGGGGGUUCGAAUCCCUUCGGGUUCACAA
Molecule: transfer RNA, 77 nt
Filed under: Bacteroidetes bacterium GWA2_30_7
Lineage: Bacteria; Pseudomonadati; Bacteroidota
Description: tRNA-Arg
Rfam family: tRNA
About the family: Transfer RNA (tRNA) molecules are approximately 80 nucleotides in length.
Source: RNAcentral